This 492-nucleotide ribosomal RNA is filed under the name uncultured bacterium. RNAcentral describes it as "partial 16S ribosomal RNA". It matches the Rfam family "Bacterial small subunit ribosomal RNA", at positions 29 to 507 of the family's 1533-position model. The record is from RNAcentral.
AGUGAACGCUGGCGGUAGGCCUAACACAUGCAAGUCGAACGGCAGCACAGUAAGAGCUUGCUCUUACGGGUGGCGAGUGGCGGACGGGUGAGGAAUACAUCGGAAUCUACUUUUUCGUGGGGGAUAACGUAGGGAAACUUACGCUAAUACCGCAUACGACCUACGGUUGAAAGCAGGGGAUCUUCGGACCUUGCGCGAUUGAAUGAGCCGAUGUCGGAUUAGCUAGUUGGCGGGGUAAAGGCCCACCAAGGCGACGAUCCGUAGCUGGUCUGAGAGGAUGAUCAGCCACACUGGAAAUGAGACACGGUCCAGACUCCUACGGGAGGCAGCAGUGGGGAAUAUUGGACAAUGGGCGCAAGCCUGAUCCAGCCAUACCGCGUGGGUGAAGAAGGCCUUCGGGUUGUAAAGCCCUUUUGUUGGGAAAGAAAAGCAGCAGGUUAAUACCCCGCUGUUCUGACGGUACCCAAAGAAUAAGCACCGGCUAACUUCGUG